This 397-nucleotide ribosomal RNA is filed under the name uncultured bacterium. RNAcentral's name for it is "bacterial SSU rRNA". It matches the Rfam family "Bacterial small subunit ribosomal RNA", at positions 521 to 916 of the family's 1533-position model. The record is from RNAcentral.
UAAUACGUAGGUGGCAAGCGUUGUCCGGAUUUACUGGGCGUAAAGAGCGCGCAGGCGGUCGUUCAAGUCGCGUGUGAAAGCCCCCGGCUCAACUGGGGAGGGUCACGCGAUACUGAUCGACUCGAAGGCAGGAGAGGGUAGUGGAAUUCCCGGUGUAGUGGUGAAAUGCGUAGAUAUCGGGAGGAACACCAGUGGCGAAGGCGACUACCUGGCCUGUUCUUGACGCUGAGGCGCGAAAGCUAGGGGAGCAAACGGGAUUAGAUACCCCGGUAGUCCUAGCCGUAAACGAUGGACACUAGGUGUUGGUGGUAUCAACCCCGCCAGUGCCGAAGCUAACGCAUUAAGUGUCCCGCCUGGGGAGUACGGCCGCAAGGCUAAAACUUAAAUGAAUUGACGG